AUGCCCCAUAACCUCCAACACGCGCCAGCGAUUGUGGAUGCGGCUCCAGGAGCUCCUCGCUCAGCUGCGUCGUGGCCGGAUUCAUGGCGGACUGUGGCGGCGGCGGCACGGUCCUGCAUCCACGAAACAAAAAGCGAUGAUUGGUUUUUUUUUCAGUGCACGCCGUGUACUCGAGCGGUUCAGCUAAUGGGUGAAUGCAGCCCGGCGCUGCCGUUUGUGGGCGAUGCAGUUGGGUUGCCUGCAGCUCACCUUCGGCGUGUAGUUCGCCGGCAUCGGGCAUGCGGUCCGGCUACGCGCGUGUUGCAGAGAUUGGGCCCGGCUGCAGUGCUGAUGCCCGGCACUUGA
Molecule: ribosomal RNA, 345 nt
Filed under: Triticum aestivum (bread wheat)
Lineage: Eukaryota; Viridiplantae; Streptophyta; Magnoliopsida; Poales; Poaceae
Description: partial small subunit ribosomal RNA
Source: RNAcentral